UUUUUUUUGAUGUGUGGUGAUUUUUGUGGUGCAUUGGUGCAUUUCAUUGUUGUGCGUUUCGUAACACUAUUGGUGCGCAUUAUUUUGUGUGUGUGUGUUUUUU
Molecule: long non-coding RNA, 103 nt
Organism: Ipomoea nil (Japanese morning glory)
Lineage: Eukaryota; Viridiplantae; Streptophyta; Magnoliopsida; Solanales; Convolvulaceae
Exons: 3
Source: RefSeq, a predicted model, not a curated record